This 329-nucleotide long non-coding RNA is filed under the name Equus caballus (horse). Its description in RNAcentral is "lncRNA (ENSECAG00000050905.1)". The record is from RNAcentral. Lineage: Eukaryota; Metazoa; Chordata; Mammalia; Perissodactyla; Equidae.
AUCAGACCCACCUGGAGGACAGACCACAGCCAGGCUCCUGGUCUUGAGCCAGGCCACCUAAAUAUGUCAUGAAUCCAGGUGCAGCAAGAGACAGGUGCACCACUCCGGGAACAACUUAGAAGUCAUCACCUCAUACCUAUGAUCAUUGUCAUCUGUCUCCACAAUCCUCCAGACCAGCCGCCUAACUGGGUGGGAAGAGAAACUCCAGUUGUGGCAUAUGGGACGCUGCCUCAGCGUGGUCUGAUGAGCAGUGCCAUGUCCGCGCCCAGGAUUCGAACCAACGAAACACUGGGCCGCCUGCAGCGGAGCGCGCGAACUUAACCGCUCGG